RNAcentral lists this ribosomal RNA (1346 nucleotides) under uncultured bacterium. RNAcentral describes it as "partial 16S ribosomal RNA". It matches the Rfam family "Bacterial small subunit ribosomal RNA", at positions 28 to 1381 of the family's 1533-position model. The record is from RNAcentral.
GACGAACGCUGGCGGCGUGCUUAACACAUGCAAGUCGAACGGAAAGGCCCUGCUUUUGUGGGGUGCUCGAGUGGCGAACGGGUGAGUAACACGUGAGUAACCUGCCCUUGACUUUGGGAUAACUUCAGGAAACUGGGGCUAAUACCGGAUAGGAGCUCCUGCUGCAUGGUGGGGGUUGGAAAGUUUCGGCGGUUGGGGAUGGACUCGCGGCUUAUCAGCUUGUUGGUGGGGUAGUGGCUUACCAAGGCUUUGACGGGUAGCCGGCCUGAGAGGGUGACCGGCCACAUUGGGACUGAGAUACGGCCCAGACUCCUACGGGAGGCAGCAGUGGGGAAUAUUGCACAAUGGGCGGAAGCCUGAUGCAGCAACGCCGCGUGCGGGAUGACGGCCUUCGGGUUGUAAACCGCUUUCGCCUGUGACGAAGCGUGAGUGACGGUAAUGGGUAAAGAAGCACCGGCUAACUACGUGCCAGCAGCCGCGGUGAUACGUAGGGUGCGAGCGUUGUCCGGAUUUAUUGGGCGUAAAGGGCUCGUAGGUGGUUGAUCGCGUCGGAAGUGUAAUCUUGGGGCUUAACCCUGAGCGUGCUUUCGAUACGGGUUGACUUGAGGAAGGUAGGGGAGAAUGGAAUUCCUGGUGGAGCGGUGGAAUGCGCAGAUAUCAGGAGGAACACUAGUGGCGAAGGCGGUUCUCUGGGCCUUUCCUGACGCUGAGGAGCGAAAGCGUGGGGAGCGAACAGGCUUAGAUACCCUGGUAGUCCACGCUGUAAACGGUGGGUACUAGGUGUGGGGUCCAUUCCACGGGUUCCGUGCCGUAGCUAACGCUUUAAGUACCCCGCCUGGGGAGUACGGCCGCAAGGCUAAAACUCAAAGGAAUUGACGGGGCCCCGCACAAGCGGCGGAGCAUGCGGAUUAAUUCGAUGCAACGCGUAGAACCUUACCUGGGUUUGACAUGGAUCGGGAGUGCUCAGAGAUGGGUGUGCCUCUUUUGGGGUCGGUUCACAGGUGGUGCAUGGCUGUCGUCAGCUAGUGUCGUGAGAUGUUGGGUUAAGUCCCGCAACGAGCGCAACCCUUGUUCACUGUUGCCAGCACGUUAUGGUGGGGACUCAGUGGAGACCGCCGGGGUCAACUCGGAGGAAGGUGGGGAUGACGUCAAGUCAUCAUGCCCCUUAUGUCCAGGGCUUCACGCAUGCUACAAUGGCUGGUACAGAGAGUGGCGAGCCUGUGAGGGUGAGCGAAUCUCGGAAAGCCGGUCUCAGUUCGGAUUGGGGUCUGCAACUCGACCUCAUGAAGUCGGAGUCGCUAGUAAUCGCAGAUCAGCAACGCUGCGGUGAAUACGUUCCCGGGGCU